CAUGGAGCUAAUGGAGAAUCCAUUCAAGCAAAAGCAGUUAGCAUAUAUUAUUUGUCUGUAUCUAUGAGCAAGACUAUUGUAUUAAGAGAUUGUUAUUAUAUGUCCAGUGUAAUUAGAAAUAUUAUUUUUGUACCAAUUUAUUGUGACAUAGUUAUGAAAUAAAAGCAAAGAGCAAUAGUUGCUCUAUUUUUUUUAUCUAAUGAGUUUAUUCGAAAGGCAUAUAUGGAUAAUGGUCUCUUUAUGCUUCUACUUAAUG
This 256-nucleotide long non-coding RNA is filed under the name Elaeis guineensis (African oil palm). Its description in RNAcentral is "long non-coding RNA (EGUI_LNC034943)". Lineage: Eukaryota; Viridiplantae; Streptophyta; Magnoliopsida; Arecales; Arecaceae. The record is from RNAcentral.